This is a non-coding RNA of Halorhabdus tiamatea SARL4B, 100 nucleotides long. NCBI's taxonomy places the organism in Archaea, Methanobacteriati, Methanobacteriota, Halobacteria, Halobacteriales, Haloarculaceae. The record is from Rfam.
CUGAUGGGCGCGUCCGGGUCAAUUGCGGUAUGCAACACCCGAUCUCCCUCGCCGUUCCGGGCGACCGGACGAUACGUGAGGGGGAACGCGUCACCGUCAG